This 289-nucleotide unclassified non-coding RNA is filed under the name uncultured fungus. Its description in RNAcentral is "partial contains 5.8S ribosomal RNA, internal transcribed spacer 2, and large subunit ribosomal RNA". The record is from RNAcentral. Lineage: Eukaryota; Fungi.
AACGCACAUUGCGCCCCUUGGUAUUCCUUGGGGCAUGCCUGUUCGAGCGUCACUAUAAACCCUCUCACGAAUCUAGUGGUAUUGACGGUAGUGGAUCAGGGUCACUGAUGUGCCCAUGUCACUCUGUUGAAAUGGAUUGCCAGGACAAUUGACCUCCGCAACAGACUUAGUAAAUGUUUACUGUACAUAAACCAGUCCUAUGCUGGGUCUUAGCCUGCCUUUAUGGACCCCCAUCCAAUAUAAACUCUGGGUUGACCUCGGAUCAGGUAGGGAUACCCGCUGAACUUAA